CAAGGGAACGGGCUUGGCAGAAUC
RNAcentral lists this non-coding RNA (24 nucleotides) under Arabidopsis thaliana (thale cress). RNAcentral also lists the same sequence under 5 other names. The record is from RNAcentral. Lineage: Eukaryota; Viridiplantae; Streptophyta; Magnoliopsida; Brassicales; Brassicaceae.